GUAAGGAAUAUUGGUCAAUGGACGAAAGUCUGAACCAGCCAUUCCGCGUGCAGGAAGAAGAUUCUAUGGAUUGUAAACUGCUUUUAGCAGAGAAGAAACGCCUUCAUUGAUGAGGGUUUGACGGUAUCUGCGGAAUAAGCACCGGCUAACUCCGUGCCAGCAGCCGCGGUAAUACGGGGGGUGCAAGCGUUAUCCGGAAUCACUGGGUUUAAAGGGUGCGUAGGCGGGAAAUUAAGUCAGUGGUGAAAGUCUGUUGCUUAACGAUAGAAUUGCCGUUGAUACUGAUUUUCUUGAAUUGGGUUGAGGUUAGCGGAAUGUGACAUGUAGCGGUGAAAUGCAUAGAUAUGUCAUGGAACACCAAUUGCGAAGGCAGCUAGCUGGGCCUUGAUUGACGCUGAGGCACGAAAGCGUGGGUAGCGAACAGGAUUAGAAACCCCGGUAGUCC
Molecule: ribosomal RNA, 445 nt
Filed under: uncultured bacterium
Lineage: Bacteria
Description: partial 16S ribosomal RNA
Rfam family: Bacterial small subunit ribosomal RNA
Source: RNAcentral